AACGAACGCUGGCGGCAGGCCUAACACAUGCAAGUCGAGCGCCCGGAUUUAUCCGGGAGCGGCGCACGGGUGAGUAACGCGUGGGAACAUGCCCUGAAGUACGGAACAACCUGGGGAAACCUUGGCUAAUACCGUAUACGCCCUGAGGGGGACAGAUUUAUCGCUUUGGGAUUGGCCCGCGUUGGAUUAGCUGGUUGGUAUGGUAACGGCGCACCAAGGCGACGAUCCAUAACUGGUCUGAGAGGAUGACCGGGCACACUGGGACUGAGACACGGCCCAGACUCCUACGGGAGGCAGCAGUGGGAAGUAUUGGACAAUGGGCGUAAGCCUGAUCCAGCCAUGCCGCGUGAGUAAAGAAGGCCUUCAGGUUGUAAAGCUCUUUCAGCGGGGACGAUGAUGACGGUACCCGCAGAAGAAGCCCCGGCUAACUUCGUGCCAGCCGCCGCAGUAA
Molecule: ribosomal RNA, 451 nt
Filed under: uncultured bacterium
Lineage: Bacteria
Description: partial 16S ribosomal RNA
Rfam family: Bacterial small subunit ribosomal RNA
Source: RNAcentral